UACGGAGGGUGCGAGCGUUGUCCGGAUUGACUGGGCGUAAAGCGCACGCAGGCGGACGCGCGCGUGGGGUGUGAAAUCUGGCCGCUUAACGGCCAGGGGCCAUCCCAUAUGGCGGGUCUGGAGCGAUGCAGAGGUCGGUGGAAUUGCCGGUGUAGUGGUGAAAUGCGUAGAUAUCCGGAGGAAUACCAAAGGCGAAGGCAGUGUCCUGGGGAGUGUCUGACGCUCAGGCGCGAAAGCUAGGGGAGCGAACAGG
Molecule: ribosomal RNA, 253 nt
Filed under: uncultured bacterium
Lineage: Bacteria
Description: partial 16S ribosomal RNA
Rfam family: Bacterial small subunit ribosomal RNA
Source: RNAcentral